AGUACGUGAAACUGCUUAGAGGUUAAGCCCGAUGAACCUGAAUAUCCAUUAUGGAAAAUUCAAUAUUAAGAUUAUAAUAUAAAUCAUAUUAUAAAAAUGGUAUGCAAUUUUUCCAUAUAAGGACAUUGUAAUCUGUUAAUGUUAUAAAUAUUUAUCAAAAGAUCUUUUACUUAAGUUUAUUUAAAUUGUUUAUCUUCGGAUAUUCAACAUAAAAUAAAUGUAUUAGAUUGGAUAAAUCAUUGACAGAUAUAAUUAUAUAAUGUGCUCAAAUUCUUCGGAAUUUUUUACAAUAAUAAGUAGAUCUAUUGAUUUAUAUAUUUAUUGAAUGCGCUAUUAUGAUUAACAAUGCGAUAGAUUCAGGAUACCUUCGGGACCCGUCUUGAAACACGGACCAAGGAGUCUAACAUAUGUGCAAGUCAUUGGGUAUUUUUAAUAAAACCCAAUGGCAUAAUUAACUUAACUGUUAUUUAUAAUGGGAUUAAUUUAUAUUUUGUUAUGAUUUAUUUAUUCAAUCCCGGGGCGUUCUAUACAGUUAUGCAUAAUGAUAUUUAUAUUAUUUAUGCCUCUAACUAGAGCGUACCUUGAGC
RNAcentral lists this ribosomal RNA (587 nucleotides) under Sphaerophoria scripta. Its description in RNAcentral is "eukaryotic LSU rRNA". Lineage: Eukaryota; Metazoa; Arthropoda; Insecta; Diptera; Syrphidae. The record is from RNAcentral.